ACCCGGAACUGCUCACCUGAGCCUCCUCACCUGGCCUCUCUCAUCUGGAACCUCUCACCUGGAAUCUUUACCUGGAGCUGCUCACCUGGCUGCUCUCACCUGGAGCUGCACACCAGGAACCCCUCACCUGGCAGAGCUCACCUGGAAUUCCUCACCUGGAACUCCUUACCUGGAAUCUUCACCUGGGACUGCUCACCUGGCUGCUCUCACCUGGAACUGUUCACCUGGAACUGCUCACCUGAGCCUCCUCACCUGGCCAGUCUCACCUGGAACCCCUCACCUGGAAUCUCUCACCUGGCCAGUCUCACCUGGAACUGCUCACCUGGAACUGCUCACCUGGAAUCUCUCACCUGGAACUGCUCACCUGGCCGCUCUCACCUGGCUGCUCUCACCUGGCCGCUCUCACCUGGCCGCUCUCAGCUGGCCCCUCCCCCACCGCCCCUCCUUGGCAGCACCUGAGGGUCUCAGGUGUCCCCGCACACCUGGGCAGGUGAAUAAAUCCAAAAUGGCGUCUGGAGCCUCCAGGUGUGCACGUGGAAUUGUUUUGAGUUGCAUCCAGGUGGGACAGGUGGGGAUUUCAGGUGUUCCAAACUCCCCAGGUGGGACAGGUGUGGAUUUUGGGAGGGUCCCAACUCCCCAGAUGUGAAUUUUGGGAGGGUCCCGACCCCCCAGGUGUGACAGGUGGGGAUUUUUGGGGGUCCCACAUCCCCCCAGGUAUGACAGGUGUGAAUUUUGGGAGGCUCCUGAUCCUCCAGGUGGGACGGGUGUGGAUUUUUGGGGGGUCCCACUUCCCCCCAGGUGUGACAGGUGUGGAUUUUGGGAGGUUCCCACUCCCCCAGGUGUGAAUUUCAGGUGUUCCAAACCCUCCAGGUGGGACAGGUGUGGAUUUUGGGGUCCCACAUCCCCCCAGGUGUGACAGGUGUGGAUUCCAGGAGAGUCCCGACCCCCCACGUGUGAAUUUUGGGAGGUUCCCAACUCCCCAGAUGUGAAUUUUGGGAGGGUCCCGACCCCCCAGGUGUGACAGGUGGGGAUUUUUGGGGGUCCCGUGUU
Molecule: long non-coding RNA, 1050 nt
Filed under: Cyanistes caeruleus (blue tit)
Lineage: Eukaryota; Metazoa; Chordata; Aves; Passeriformes; Paridae
Description: lncRNA (ENSCCEG00000003695.1)
Source: RNAcentral